RNAcentral lists this non-coding RNA (30 nucleotides) under Rattus norvegicus (Norway rat). The record is from RNAcentral. Lineage: Eukaryota; Metazoa; Chordata; Mammalia; Rodentia; Muridae.
UCCAUCCCGUCUUGUCCCAGUGUUAACAAA